CUUGAGGAAUUGAAGGCAUUGGAAGAGCACCUUAAGGCACAUGGUCCAUUUAUUGCUGGAGAAAAGAUCACUGCUGUGGAAUUGAGCUUGGCACCAAAGCUGUACCAUCUUGAGGUUGCUCUUGGCCAUUUUAAAAAGUGGACUGUCCCUGAAAACUUGCCUUAUGUCCACAAUUACAUGGAGUUGCUCUUCUCCCGGGAAUCUUUCCAGAAGACCAAGGCUACAACGGAACAUGUGAUCUCAGGGUGGGAGCCUAAGGUC
RNAcentral lists this unclassified non-coding RNA (261 nucleotides) under Hevea brasiliensis (rubber tree). Lineage: Eukaryota; Viridiplantae; Streptophyta; Magnoliopsida; Malpighiales; Euphorbiaceae. The record is from RNAcentral.